Molecule: unclassified non-coding RNA, 4802 nt
Filed under: Haliotis rubra (blacklip abalone)
Lineage: Eukaryota; Metazoa; Mollusca; Gastropoda; Lepetellida; Haliotidae
Description: uncharacterized LOC124280417, transcript variant X1
Source: RNAcentral
CACCACAAUGGGAGCACAUGAGCAGUGAUAGCUGAGUCCUCUCGUACAUUUGUGUAAUAUUGGGAGAGUUGCGUCCCUUCAUCCAUACAUACGUUUCGACUUUUCCAGACCUAAAAGUCGCACACAUGACACAGUGCGGGGAUGAUGUGUAACGACUGAAGAGGGAACUCCGGAAUUAAUGUCAGGUUCCUCUGGAUCCCCAUCUGUACACAUGGAGGGGUGCUGUGACAUAACUAUAACCAGGCACUUAUGGAAGUUCCUGGAAGAUGGGCAUAACCGUUCAGAGAGAUGCCCCGCCGUGGCCUUUAUCCGCUGUGACUGGGCGGAUGGCGGGAGCAAGAACCGUUCUGUCACACAUACUACACGAUGGAAGCUUCAUGUCUGUGCACCGGACACUCAACAAACCGAUGAAAGUGAUGUUUUUCGACUUUUAGGGAGUGACACCUUUACCCACCUGCAUCAUUUUACAGAUAGGUUGUGGAAGGAACAUGACACUGAACUGACUCAUAUUGAAAGAGGUUUGAUAUUCGCAUGUCAACACAGACAGUAUUCUGAGGAAAAGAUGGAUGGAUUCAAGCGAAACAUAUUGGCGUCCUUUCAACAUCUCAUCAAUACACCCUCCACACACAGGAACUAUGCUGUGUCGCUAGAAUUGCUUGAAGAAAAGAGCGGCUAUGACAACGGCGGCAGAACGUCAACGUUAUCAGACACACAGCUAGAGCUACAAAGGAUUGAAGACCGACUUCAAGAACGAAUGUCUUGCGAACUUAGAAACAUGGAAAACCUUGUCCGCACUCUGAUUCAGACAAAUCAAACUUAUAUGGAAGGAGAGGUCCGGAACAUUGCACUGGCUGUACGUUCAGAACCAGAUGAACGUGACGCAAUACAAGUGUCCACUGAAGGGGUUGCCAGUGUACAUGGACACGUCCUUGAAGCCGAUGAACGUGACGCAAUACAAGUGUCCACUGAAGGGGUUGCCAGUGUACAUGGACACGUCCUUGAAGCCGAUGAACGUGACGCAACACCGUUGUCCACUGAAGGGGUUGCCAGUGUACAUGGACACGUCCUUGAAGCCGAUAAACGUGACGCAACACCGGUGUCCACUGAAGGGGUUUCUAAUGUCCAAGGACACGUUCCUGAAACAGAUGCAGGAGCACCACCGAAGGGAGACCCUGCCAGGUCCGGGGGCACCAGUGUUAACGAUCAGCGGGAGUCACCAGUUCCUGAAACUACAGAUAGCUAUCGAGACAACAGAGCUGAGGGAGGUAACGACAACGGGUUAGAAGAAAUGCCUGGUUCUCGUGACGUGGAUCAAAACAUUGUACCAACGACAGGCCUUGAUGAUACAUUGGAGACACAUACAUCAUGGCUGAGUUCGGAGAAUAUCCAGCAAAUGUCACCAAGCGAAAUAAUAAGCAAGAACUAUUAUGAAGCCCAACAACUGCUAACAGCUCUGACCAUAAAUCUCGACGGAUGGAAAAGGUUGACAGAGGCAACUGCACUGGCCCUGGAAGCUGCCCAUCCCACACCUCCAAGAACUAAUUCAGCCGUCACCGUGCUGUGUGUCGAUGUUUCCGAAAGUAUUGGAGAAAAAGGCCUGAGAGAAAUGAAGCAGACGGUCAACAGGUUUAUCGAUGGCAUAGAGACAAUGGCUGAACAGCAGGGUCUGGAGGAGAACAUCGGCUUGGUGGCCAUGGGCGGGGAUGUCACGGUGAUGCAGGAUAUCACAAAUGACUAUGGAAGGGUCAGGGACGCAAUAGAUGACUUGGUUCUGCGAGGGGCGAGUCCCAUAUUCGAAGCUAUUGUUGUUUCCGUGGCAUCAAUCAAGAACAGAGCUGGUAUUCUCCGUAUUGGCGGAAUUCACAAAGUCAAGCCAAGGAUUAUUUUCUUCACGGAUGGUUUUGCAACCAGUGAAGAUCACCCCGAUGGACCAGACUCUGUUAUCAAUGAUUCAAAUUUGAAGGUCCAGAUUAUCCGUCUAACAACCAUGUUGGCACGAGAGAAGAGUGACACGGAUCCACUGAUAUGGGUGCCAGUGGGAAACGCUGAUACGACGUUUCUGUCCUCGUUGGCGAAACUGGGAAACCAAGAAUUGGUCGAAGGGAAGGACAUUCACAGUCUGUGUAGCCGUUACAGGUUACAGGAUACGAUCGCAAAAAUCUACUUAUGCUUGGAGAAGAGCUUUUCUAAAGACAGAGAAAGAACAGAACGCAACAUCGAAGCAGUAGCUGAAGCCUUCAUGGGUGACAUGACUCACGAAGAAAAGGUUUUCGUAAUCAAAGCAGUGACGGAAAAGAUAGAAAAGAAAGAUGGCAUACUACCAGAUGAUGGUCCCAGCGAUUAUGACAAUGUCCUCGAACGAGAGGGGUUACCUCCACUUGGGUCCAGGGUGAUACGAGGACCGGACUGGAAGUAUGGAGACCAGGAUGUGGAAGGGCCUGGAACCGUUGUCAAUCAUGCAAAUGAUCAUCAGUUUUUGUGGGUACGUUGGGAUCUGUACGACAGCAACUGCAGGUACAGAUAUGGGUAUGAAGAACAGUUCGAUGUUCUUCUAGUCGACCAGUCACGACGCCUGGCCGCAAAUGAGCUGAUUGAGAUUGGUGUCAAGGUCAAAAGGGGAACUGACUGGUCAUAUGGAAACCAAGAUGGUGGUCCUGGCGGCCGUGGGAUGGUGAUACGAAAACGGAAGGAUGGGAGAGUGAAAGUGAGAUGGGACAACGGCCACAUCAACUCCUACAAUUUUGGAUCCCAUGGGGAAUUUGAUCUCGAAAUCAGUUCUGAAGAAGACGAAUUAUCUGCUGUUAUAGCAGCGUCCUUGGAAGAAACAGCAUCUCCUUCUAGAGUCCCAGAUGAAGAAGUCAAGGGAACCCUGCAGACAGAGGACAGACCACACAUAGUCUGGCAAUGGAGAGACGAUAGUGGCGUCUGGAGACUGUACACACAUAAGCAGAUAGAAAAAUUGGAGAGGGAUUACAGCCGGACAAGUGCCAGGACUUGCGUUCUUCAGAAAGGGGAUCAGAGCUUUCGUAUCACAUUCAAAGAACCCAUGUCACAGAAGUCAUCCAACGAUGGGAGAAGAUAUGAUGUUCAAAGACUCGCUGUGAGUACCAAGGACCUGGACCAGCUCAUCUCCCAAACAUCAGCUGUAGAAGACGUGGGAUGGAUGUGGGCGGACAAGGAAUAUGUACAGUAGUGGCUGUAUUCAUACUGAAUACGUCCAUAUCGUGACGUGGGAUGGAUGUGGGCGGACGAGGAAUAUGUACAGUAGUGGCUGUAUUCAUACUGAGUACGUCCAUAUCGUGACGUGGGAUGGAUGUGGGCGGACAAGGAUUAUGUACAGUAGUGGCUGUAUUCAUACUGAGUACGUCCACAUCGUGACGUGGGAUGGAUGUGGGCGGACAAGGAAUAUGUACAGUAGUGGCUGUAUUCAUACUGAGUACGUCCAUAUCGUGACGUGGGAUGGAUGUGGGCGGACAAGGAUUAUGUACAGUAGUGGCUGUAUUCAUACUGAGUACGUCCAUAUCGUGACGUGGGAUGGAUGUGGGCGGACAAGGAUUAUGUACAGUAGUGGCUGUAUUCAUACUGAGUACGUCCAUAUCGUGACGUGGGAUGGAUGUGGGCGGACAAGGAUUAUGUACAGUAGUGGCUGUAUUCAUACUGAGUACGUCCAUAUCGUGAACUAAACAGUAGCUCUAUACUGUUAAACUGUACAUGAGGUGACACAGUUGCUGUAUGCAGACUGGAUACGUACAUACCCGGAAUUUUACUCUAGCUGUGUACCGACUGGAUACCUACAUGGUCUGGUGUACAGUAGCUGUAUACUGAUAACAUACGUACAUGGUCUGAUGUACUGUAGCUGUGUACUGAUUGAGUACGUACAUGGUCUGGGGAAUAGUAGAUGUAUACUGAUUGGGUACGUACAUGGUCUGAUGGACAGUAGCUGUAUACUGAUUGGGUACGAACAUGGUCUGAUGUACAGUAGCUGUAUACAGAUUGGGUACGUACAUGGUCUUAUGUACAGUAGAUGUGUACUGAUUGGAUGCGUACAUGGUCUGAUGGACAGUAGCUGUAUACUGAUUGGGUACGUACAUGGUCUUAUGUACAGUCGAUGUGUACUGAUUGGGUACCUACAUGGUCUGAGGUACAGUAGCUGUGUACUGAUUGGAUACGUGCAGGGUCUGAGGUACAAUAGCUGUAUACUGAUUGGAUACCUACAUGGUCUGAGGUACAGUAGCUGUGUACUGAUUGGAUGCGUACAUGGUCUGAUGGACAGUAGAUGUAUACUGAUUGGGUACGUACAUGGUCUUAUGUACAGUAGCUGUGUACUGAUUGGGUACGCACAUUGUCUGAUGUACAGUAGCUGUGUACUGAUUGGAUGCGUACAUGGUCUGAUGGACAGUAGCUGUAUACUGAUUGGGUACGUACAUGGUCUGAGGUACAAUAGCUGUAUACUGAUUGGAUACCUACAUGGUCUUAUGUACAGUAGAUGUGUACUGAUUGGGUACGUACAUGGUCUGAGGUACAAUAGCUGUAUACUGAUUGGGUACGUACAUGGUCUUAUGUGCAGUAGAUGUGUACUGAUUGGAUGCGUACAUGGUCUGAUGGACAGUUGCUGUAUACUGAUUGGGUACGUACAUCCAAUUGUACAGUGCUGUCUUUGUAAACGUGGUGAAAUGAACAGCAGUUGUAUACACACUGACCCUGUUCAUGUUCUGAACAUAUAUUUGUAUACUGACUGUAUUUGUACAUUUGUCAUCAUCCUUGGGUUCUUUUUGCAUAUGAAUAAACACGGAUAUUAUCGA